CCAAUAGCGUAUAUUAAAGUUGUUGCAGUUAAAAAGCUCGUAGUUGAAUUUCGGAAUCAAUUUGUUGGUCGUGCCUCGGUACGUACUGGUAUUAUUGGUUUCUACCUUCUGAAGAACCUUGAUGUCAUUAAUUUGGUGUCUUGGGGAAUCAGGACUGUUACUUUGAAAAAAUUAGAGUGUUUAAAGCAAGCAUACGCUUGAAUACAUUAGCAUGGAAUAAUGAAAUAGGACGUUUGAUUCUAUUUUGUUGGUUUCUAGGAUCGACGUAAUGAUUAAUAGGGAUAGUUGGGGGCAUUAGUAUUCAAUUGUCAGAGGUGAAAUUCUUGGAUUUAUUGAAGACUAACUACUGCGAAAGCAUUUGCCAAGGAUGUUUUCAUUAAUCAAGAACGAAAGUUAGGGGAUCGAAGACGAUCAGAUACCGUCGUAGUCUUAACCAUAAACUAUGCCGACUAGGGAUCGGAUGAUGUUAAUUUUUUAAUGACUCA
This 485-nucleotide ribosomal RNA is filed under the name Glomus sp. Its description in RNAcentral is "SSU rRNA". It matches the Rfam family "Eukaryotic small subunit ribosomal RNA", at positions 591 to 1078 of the family's 1831-position model. Lineage: Eukaryota; Fungi; Glomeromycota; Glomeromycetes; Glomerales; Glomeraceae. The record is from RNAcentral.